GCUGCAUGGCUGUUGUCAGCUUGUGUUGUGAGAUGUUGGGUUAAGUCCCGCAACGAGCGCAACCCCUUUUUUUAGUUGCUACCAUUUAGUUGGGCAUUUUAAGGAGACUGCCGGUGAUAAGCCGGGGGGAAGGUGGGGAUGAUUUAAUUUCCUCAUGCCCUUUACGGGGGGGGUUACACAUGUGUUAAAAUGGCGGUGACAGGGGGAGGAUAAGGGGAAAGGGUUGGCAAUUCUAAAA
This 238-nucleotide ribosomal RNA is filed under the name uncultured bacterium. RNAcentral's name for it is "partial 16S ribosomal RNA". It matches the Rfam family "Bacterial small subunit ribosomal RNA", at positions 1040 to 1280 of the family's 1533-position model. The record is from RNAcentral.